Long non-coding RNA from Xenopus tropicalis (tropical clawed frog), 444 nucleotides. RefSeq lists it as uncharacterized. The transcript is spliced from 3 exons. Lineage: Eukaryota; Metazoa; Chordata; Amphibia; Anura; Pipidae. The record is from RefSeq and is a predicted model, not a curated record.
UGCUGUAACACUGGGUGGCCUUUACAUUAUAAUUUAAGGUAUCUUUUGUAAUUUAGUGUUAAUAAUAGUGUUGAAUUUAUCCACAUACAGGCCCAGAUUUGAAGAAAAGGCCACAAAAGCCUGGCUCUGGGUGACAGGAAUUUAGGGGUGCCACAUCUGAUUUCUCCCAAAGCAAUGUGGACAUGCUUUACAUCUUUCAUGUGCCAAAUCUCCAGUGCAAAACCCAGUGGAAACUUGCAAUCAGACAAACUGGUGUGACAGGAGUGGGUUAUAACAAUAACAUAAAUCUAUUGAUUCCAACCAGAAAAGCAAAAGGAAAACCUAAGGAUAUUCACAAAACUAUUCAAUGGGCAAUCCCCUAUUGAUUUCUAUUAACCUUUUUGAGGGAUAAUUGAAGGUGACCACUGACCAUGGGCUAGGGACAAGCAAUAUCUAACUAAGCAG